This 253-nucleotide ribosomal RNA is filed under the name uncultured bacterium. Its description in RNAcentral is "partial 16S ribosomal RNA". It matches the Rfam family "Bacterial small subunit ribosomal RNA", at positions 524 to 776 of the family's 1533-position model. The record is from RNAcentral.
UACAGUGGGUGCAAACGUUGCUCGGAAUCAUUGGGCGUAAAGCGCACGUAGGCGGUUCGUUAUGUCGGAUGUGAAAGCCCUUGGCUUAACCGAGGAAGUGCAUCCGAAACUGGCGAGCUAGAGUACUAAAGAGGAUCGCGGAAUUCCCGGUGUAGAGGUGAAAUUCGUAGAUAUCGGGAGGAACACCGGUGGCGAAGGCGGCGAUCUGGGUAGAUACUGACGCUGAGGUGCGAAAGCGUGGGGAGCAAACAGG